Molecule: precursor RNA, 406 nt
Filed under: Solanum lycopersicum (tomato)
Lineage: Eukaryota; Viridiplantae; Streptophyta; Magnoliopsida; Solanales; Solanaceae
Description: precursor microRNA 172
Rfam family: mir-172 microRNA precursor family (bases 179-333)
Source: RNAcentral
GUAUAUAUAUGUACUUGGAUUUGUACCCUAUAAUAUUUAUCCUAUUUGAAGCAUUUAUUUAAUUUAGGGUUUGUGGUCCAUUUUUUUAGAUAUUCAAUAAUAUUGAAACGAUACAGAGAAAAUAGAAUUUUUGAAUUUGAAUCAGGCUUAUCGAUCAAUCGAAUAAUCAACACAGUUGUUGUUUGCAAAUGUAGCAUCAUCAAGAUUCAUACAUGAAAAUUAAGAGGCAAGGUUAAAUAUGUAGCUUUAAUUUGAAAUGAAAAAUAUAAUAUAUCAUGACCAUGUCUAUUUAUUUCAAAGUGAGAAUCUUGAUGAUGCUGCAUCAGCAAUAAAUAACUAUCGGUGACAGAGUCAGAAUUUUUAAGGAUACUUAAUAUCCAAUAGGGUUUUGUAUAUACUGGGGUUC